Molecule: long non-coding RNA, 442 nt
Organism: Ananas comosus (pineapple)
Lineage: Eukaryota; Viridiplantae; Streptophyta; Magnoliopsida; Poales; Bromeliaceae
Exons: 2
Source: RefSeq, a predicted model, not a curated record
CUUGCAAGUAAAUAAGUGAUGAUCCAAUGGGAUUUGCACGAAAAUGAUCGCGACACGACUGUUCAAAUAAAAAUCGGAAACUCAUUAGAAAGGCUGUUCUAGGUCGAUCGGAACGACAAGUUUGGCCACAUUUCUCUAGUCAUGAUGUAUUAAAGGAUUCAGCAGCGGUCGACAAAGCAUAGAAUAACAAGCCUUAUGCAUCUCGAAGGGUAAGGCACUGUGUUUCAGUGCCGGCCACAAGAACGGUACCAAAUCGGGGCAAAACUGAAGGCUUGUGGAGUGCAGGCACUCCAGCACAACUCGCAUCAGCAACUAUCAUUGAAAUUGAUAUUCAAUUCUAAUCCCAUUCCUUCUCUCGUGCGCAUUUAAACAAAUCAAAAGUAAUGUCAACUUCAUAUUAAAUUGUUCAAGUGCCAAAUUUAUUGCCCCGGGAUUUUUCAUA